Molecule: ribosomal RNA, 301 nt
Filed under: uncultured bacterium
Lineage: Bacteria
Description: partial 16S ribosomal RNA
Rfam family: Bacterial small subunit ribosomal RNA
Source: RNAcentral
CAGUAGCCGCGGUAAUACGAGGGGGGCAAGCGUUGUUCGGAAUUAUUGGGCGUAAAGGGUGCGUAGGCGGUUUGGCAAGUUUGGUGUGAAAUCUUCGGGCUCAACUCGAAGUCUGCAUCGAAAACUGCCGGGCUUGAGUAUGGGAGAGGUGAGUGGAAUUUCCGGUGUAGCGGUGAAAUGCGUAGAUAUCGGAAGGAACACCUGUGGCGAAAGCGGCUCACUGGACCAUAACUGACGCUGAUGCACGAAAGCUAGGGGAGCAAACAGGAUUAGAUACCCGCGUAGUCCCUGUCUCUUAUAC